This 533-nucleotide ribosomal RNA is filed under the name uncultured bacterium. RNAcentral describes it as "bacterial SSU rRNA". It matches the Rfam family "Bacterial small subunit ribosomal RNA", at positions 775 to 1296 of the family's 1533-position model. The record is from RNAcentral.
AGAUAAUAGAUACCCAGGUAGUCCACGCCGUAAACGAUGAGUGCUAAGUGUUAGAGGGUUUCCGCCCUUUAGUGCUGCAGCUAACGCAUUAAGCACUCCGCCUGGGGAGUACGGCCGCAAGGCUGAAACUCAAAGGAAUUGACGGGGGCCCGCACAAGCGGUGGAGCAUGUGGUUUAAUUCGAAGCAACGCGAAGAACCUUACCAGGUCUUGACAUCCUCUGACACUCCUAGAGAUAGGAUUUUCCCCGUUCGGGGGUACAGAGUGACAGGUGGUGCAUGGUUGUCGUCAGCUCGUGUCGUGAGAUGUUGGGUUAAGUCCCGCAACGAGCGCAACCCUUGAUCUUAGUUGCCAGCAUUCAGUUGGGCACUCUAAGGUGACUGCCGGUGACAAACCGGAGGAAGGUGGGGUAUGACGUCAAAUCAUCAUGCCCCGUUAUGACCUGGGCUACACACGUGCUACAAUGGAUGGUACAAAGGGUCAGCGAAGCCGCGAGGUGGAGCCAAUCCCGAUAAAACCCGAUUCUCAGUUCGG